AGUGAACGCUGGCGGCAGGCCUAACACAUGCAAGUCGAGCGGCAGCGCGGGGGCAACCCUGGCGGCGAGCGGCGGACGGGUGAGGAAUUCGUCGGAAUCUGCCUUUUUGUGGGGGAUAACGUAGGGAAACUUACGCUAAUACCGCAUACGACCUACGGGUGAAAGUGGGGGACCGCAAGGCCUCACGCAGAAAGAUGAGCCGACGACCGAUUAGCUAGUUGGUGGGGUAAAAGGCCCACCAAGGCGACGAUCGGUAGCUGGUCUGAGAGGAUGAUCAGCCACACUGGGACUGAGACACGGCCCAGACUCCUACGGGAGGCAGCAGUGGGGAAUAUUGGACAAUGGGCGCAAGCCUGAUCCAGCCAUGCCGCGUGUGUGAAGAAGGCCUUCGGGUUGUAAAGCACUUUGUUCCGGAAAGAAAUACCUUCAACUUAAUACGUUGGGGGGAGUGACGUACCGGAAGAAUAAGCACCGGCGUAACUUACGUGCCAGC
Molecule: ribosomal RNA, 493 nt
Filed under: uncultured bacterium
Lineage: Bacteria
Description: bacterial SSU rRNA
Rfam family: Bacterial small subunit ribosomal RNA
Source: RNAcentral